GACGAACGCUGGCGGCGUGCUUAACACAUGCAAGUCGAACGGAAAGGCCCCUUUGGGGGUACUCGAGUGGCGAACGGGUGAGUAACACGUGAGUAACCUGCCCUUGACUUCGGGAUAACUUCAGGAAACUGGGGCUAAUACCGGAUAGGAAUCCUUGCUGCAUGGUGGGGGUUGGAAAGCUUCGGCGGUUUUGGAUGGACUCGCGGCUUAUCAGCUUGUUGGUGGGGUAGUGGCUUACCAAGGCUUUGACGGGUAGCCGGCCUGAGGGGGCGACCGGCCACAGUGGGAAGGAGAUAGGGCCCAGCCCCCGGGGGGGGGCAGCGGGGGGAAAUGUGGAAAAAGGGGGGGAGGCCGGAUGCAGCACCGCCGGGGGGGGGAUGAGGGCUUUGGGGUUGAAACCCGCUUUGAGAAGGGGAGAGGCUGGGGGUGCGGGUACCUGAAAAAAAAGCACCGGCUAACUACGGG
Molecule: ribosomal RNA, 465 nt
Filed under: uncultured bacterium
Lineage: Bacteria
Description: partial 16S ribosomal RNA
Rfam family: Bacterial small subunit ribosomal RNA
Source: RNAcentral